Molecule: long non-coding RNA, 853 nt
Filed under: Bos indicus x Bos taurus (hybrid cattle)
Lineage: Eukaryota; Metazoa; Chordata; Mammalia; Artiodactyla; Bovidae
Description: lncRNA (ENSBIXG00000024365.1)
Source: RNAcentral
AACUGUGCCUAACUUUUCCUGGUCUGAAGAAUGUUUAACUGUUUUCAUAGAACGAAUCUUCUCUCUUACAGGAUGGAAGCAGUAAAAGCAUCCAACUGCACCAAGUGGAGAAUGGGAUAAGGCACAAACACUGCUAUGUCAGAGCCUCAGGUGCAGCCAAUACUUAAUAUUAUCUGUAGUAUAAAUUGGCCUGUUUCUCAGCCUUCCCUGCAGUCGCUUUGAGAGCCAGGAUGCUGGAGUCCAAUGAUUCCUUGGAGGUUUAUCCCAGAGGAAUAUUCUCCUUUAUCUACAAGUGGAUUCCUUCUCUUACACAUGGGGGUGGGCGGAGGGGACUCCUGAUUUCAUGAGUAAUUUUGAAUUGGAAAACUUUCUACAGUCCAUUGGAAUGAAAGCAAGAGAAGUGAACUCCUGCACUGGUAUGUAUUUGAGAGCAAUGAAAUCUCUUCAGUACAAACAUUCAUAUGCAUUUUUUUUCCAUAUGCAUUUUAAAAGACUAGAAAAGACAUAAUUCUCAUGCUUUAAAAAUGAACCUAUAGUUACACAGAGAAAUUGGCAUAUGUAUAUUGCUCCAUCUUUUCCUGAGUCUCAUCAAAUACAAUAUACCACAUCUAUAUAGUCCUGGAAAGCUGGAACCUAUACGUCUAGAAGAUGUAUAAUUAAGUUAAAAUAACUUUAAAAUAGCCCAGAAGUAAAUGUUCUAAAGUAACUUGGAUUUAAGGAGCUCUUUAACUGCAAUCAGAGCUUGCAUGGUGCUGGACACCACAAUUCUGAAAGAAAAUUAGAAAAUGUAGAAGCCUCUGUGAGUAAAGAAUUAUAUGGGGAAGCUAAAGAAAUAAAGUUGUAAUGUAAAACA